CGUAGGGUGCGAGCGUUAAUCGGAAUUACUGGGCGUAAAGCGUGCGCAGGCGGCGCCGCAAGUCAGGCGUGAAAUCCCCGGGCUUAACUUGGGAAUGGCGCUUGAAACUACGGUGCUGGAGUGUGGCAGAGGGAGGUGGAAUUCCACGUGUAGCGGUGAAAUGCGUAGAGAUGUGGAGGAACACCGAUGGCGAAGGCAGCCUCCUGGGCCAACACUGACGCUCAUGCACGAAAGCGUGGGGAGCAAACAGGAUUAGAUACCCUGGUAGUCCACGCCCUAAACGAUGAUGACUAGCUGUUGGGGGAGUUAAAUCCCUUAGUAACGCAGCUAACGCGUGAAGUCAUCCGCCUGGGGAUACGGUCGCAAGAUUA
RNAcentral lists this ribosomal RNA (371 nucleotides) under uncultured organism. RNAcentral describes it as "bacterial SSU rRNA". It matches the Rfam family "Bacterial small subunit ribosomal RNA", at positions 526 to 896 of the family's 1533-position model. The record is from RNAcentral.